UGUGACAUCUUUGGAACACUGAGACCCAACCUGUUUUUUUUUCCUUGAUGUAUGAUCGUCCAGUGGCUAUGUACCUUGCUCGUGCUUUCUGACUUCAGGAGUGUGUUGAACUCUUUUUGAUCUCUUUUCCUUCGCUUAGUGGAAUAUCUCUUGUGUUUCAUGGGGGCUUCAUUUGAAUCACAGUGCCUGAAGAUGAGCAAACCUUGAACAGCUCAGCCAAAGAAAGAAUGCAAUUUACCAUGUCUCACUGGUGGCAAGAUGUACUACACAGGCCAUACCUACUCAGGAAGAACACACAAGUGUGAGCCUAAAUAAUGAGAGACAGCAGAUUAUUCCACAGAAGGCUU
Pristis pectinata (smalltooth sawfish) is the source of this 347-nucleotide long non-coding RNA. RefSeq lists it as uncharacterized. The transcript has 3 exons. Lineage: Eukaryota; Metazoa; Chordata; Chondrichthyes; Rhinopristiformes; Pristidae. The record is from RefSeq and is a predicted model, not a curated record.